Molecule: long non-coding RNA, 270 nt
Filed under: Elaeis guineensis (African oil palm)
Lineage: Eukaryota; Viridiplantae; Streptophyta; Magnoliopsida; Arecales; Arecaceae
Description: long non-coding RNA (EGUI_LNC081062)
Source: RNAcentral
CUUCCUUCUUCAGCCGCUGGAUCGUCGAUUUCAGCGGGACCCCCAGGGGCAGGGGGAGUGCUUCUGCAGGACACUGCCAUCGGAAGGCAAAAGCGUCAAAACAUGACUCAUUGCGGGGAGGAGAGCAGAGAGAAGGAAGGGGGGAGGAGAAGCCGUCUGCAACAAGAAAUUCAACUUUAUUGAUUGGAUGAUUUUUGAAGACAAACAGAAAAGAAAAAUUGCGACGAAAUAAAGGUACAAGAUCGGAGGUAUCAGACCUUGGGGGCGGGG